RNAcentral lists this ribosomal RNA (253 nucleotides) under uncultured bacterium. RNAcentral's name for it is "partial 16S ribosomal RNA". It matches the Rfam family "Archaeal small subunit ribosomal RNA", at positions 474 to 727 of the family's 1478-position model. The record is from RNAcentral.
UACCAGCACCCCGAGUGGUCGGGACGAUUAUCGGGCCUAAAGCAUCCGUAGCCGGUUCUACAAGUCUUCCGUUAAAUCCACCUGCUUAACAGAUGGGCUGCGGAGGAUACUAUAGAGCUAGGAGGCGGGAGAGGCAAGCGGUACUUAGUGGGUAGGGGUAAAAUCCGUUGAUCCAUUGAAGACCACCAGUGGCGAAGGCGGCUUGCCAGAACGCGCUCGACGGUGAGGGAUGAAAGCUGGGGGAGCAAACCGG